RNAcentral lists this long non-coding RNA (201 nucleotides) under Elaeis guineensis (African oil palm). Its description in RNAcentral is "long non-coding RNA (EGUI_LNC069456)". Lineage: Eukaryota; Viridiplantae; Streptophyta; Magnoliopsida; Arecales; Arecaceae. The record is from RNAcentral.
GUUGUAUUUGAUAGCUGGCAAUCUAUUUAGAUUGCUAGCAAUUUAAUGUGGUAAUCUAGAUUACUUCAUUUGAUAUGCUUUUUGGAUAGUAAUCUAGAUUAUCUUGAGAUGGCUAUCUAGAUUAUCAUUUCUUUGAUAAUGUUGCAAUAAAAAUUUUGGAUAAAAUUAUCUCUCAGAAAAAUCACACAAAACCUAUUGCCC